This 352-nucleotide long non-coding RNA is filed under the name Piliocolobus tephrosceles (Ugandan red Colobus). RNAcentral describes it as "lncRNA (ENSPTEG00000032770.1)". The record is from RNAcentral. Lineage: Eukaryota; Metazoa; Chordata; Mammalia; Primates; Cercopithecidae.
AAUUAUGACAAAAAAUAGACUGUUAAUAGAAUCUCGAGAAGCUAAAAAGCAGUCAGACCCUGAUAUAACAUUGACUCAUAGCGAACAUAACUUGUACGACUGGAAAGCCGUCAUCAGAGGGCCAAAGGAUUCACCAUAUGAAGGAGGAACUUGGAAACUUAGUAUAAAAUGUAAAAGUACUUACCCGAUAGACCCACCUUUAAUAACAUUUAUAACGAAGUUUUUUUCAUCCAAACGUAAAUUUUCAAACAGGUAUUAUUAUAUACAAAUCGUAUAUAAAAUAAACAUUUUUUUAUUUUCACAAGCAUUUACAUAAGUGUUUGUGUAAUUACAUAUACAUAUAUACAAAUAU